This 483-nucleotide ribosomal RNA is filed under the name uncultured bacterium. Its description in RNAcentral is "partial 16S ribosomal RNA". It matches the Rfam family "Bacterial small subunit ribosomal RNA", at positions 30 to 506 of the family's 1533-position model. The record is from RNAcentral.
AUUGAACGCUGGCGGCAGGCCUAACACAUGCAAGUCGAGCGGAUGAAGGGAGCUUGCUCCUGGAUUCAGCGGCGGACGGGUGAGUAAUGCCUAGGAAUCUGCCUGGUAGUGGGGGAUAACGUCCGGAAACGGGCGCUAAUACCGCAUACGUCCUGAGGGAGAAAGUGGGGGAUCUUCGGACCUCACGCUAUCAGAUGAGCCUAGGUCGGAUUAGCUAGUUGGUGGGGUAAAGGCCUACCAAGGCGACGAUCCGUAACUGGUCUGAGAGGAUGAUCAGUCACACUGGAACUGAGACACGGUCCAGACUCCUACGGGAGGCAGCAGUGGGGAAUAUUGGACAAUGGGCGAAAGCCUGAUCCAGCCAUGCCGCGUGUGUGAAGAAGGUCUUCGGAUUGUAAAGCACUUUAAGUUGGGAGGAAGGACAGUAAGUUAAUACCUUGCUGUUUUGACGUUACCAACAGAAUAAGCACCGGCUAACUUCGU